AAUAAAAUAAAAUAGGAGAGGCUGUUGCAGCGCCAAAAGGAGCCGCUGCGAAUGGCUGAAGUUGAUCGCCAUGUUUCUCAUCAUACCAUCAACAUCAUCUUCAAGAUGAGUGAUAUUGCAUUCUAAUAUUGCUGAGAGAGAAGAAAGAGAUGGCAUCGGUGGGUGGAUCAAUCGUAAUGGCAACGGUCAGGUCCUUCAAAACUGGCUCCAAAACCCUAAUUCCCAAAACCUAGCUCCAAAAUCCGUGUCUUCCUCUCCAUUCUCUUUUUCCACAAGACCAUACCUUGUGCUGCUUCAAGGAUUAUUUCGGUCUUGGGAAGCGUUGAGUCGAUGAUGCCACUUCACAGCGCCAUCUAGUCGUCUGAAAUCAAGUAUGGCCUUUGAUUCCUCCUGCUGGAGUUGGCUUUCUCAAGGACUUGCAGUACCAUUGUGACAAGGUUCGCUGGAUAUUAGAGAUUUAGAGGGUGAUUAAUGAACUUUGAUUUUUCUUUUUCAAUUUUUUUUUUUUUU
Cornus florida is the source of this 510-nucleotide long non-coding RNA. RefSeq lists it as uncharacterized. The record is from RefSeq and is a predicted model, not a curated record. NCBI's taxonomy places the organism in Eukaryota, Viridiplantae, Streptophyta, Magnoliopsida, Cornales, Cornaceae. The transcript has 3 exons.